Molecule: long non-coding RNA, 555 nt
Organism: Eptesicus fuscus (big brown bat)
Lineage: Eukaryota; Metazoa; Chordata; Mammalia; Chiroptera; Vespertilionidae
Exons: 5
Source: RefSeq, a predicted model, not a curated record
ACAAGACCAGCAGCACUGUUGUCUCCUAGGGCACUCCAGUACCCUUCGUCUUCUCCCAAAUCACUCCAGUACUCUGAGAAACUAUAGCAGAAAAAUACAGAGCCUCCAAAGUAAAUAAAAAGACCAGAACCCCUGGGAGAAAUGAGCCUCAUUGGAGCAGCCAGAUUCAUAAGACCACGGCUGACCACAGGUAACUGGAAAACCAUGAAUAAGAGGGAACUCCGUGUGCUAAAUGGAGCUGAGCCACAAGAAGGUGACCCAGAGUGUCUGGCUUCCUUCCACACCUCAAGAGUGUACAUUGCCUGGCACAAUCCAACGCUGGACCACUAGCUCCAAGAUUAGUGAAGCCAGCAGUCACGUGAGCUACAAUUCUGAAAUGAAGUGAUGCAUAACAAAAGGUUGAUUACCUGACCGAGGUGAUAAGUUGUAUUAACCAAAAUUUUUAACUGGUUUACUAUGCUUCACACAGGAGUUGUGUGGUUUGAAAAAGGACAUGUAAUAAAUUCCUUAUUUUUAAAAUAAAGGUGGGACAAAAUCUUUACUGGCAGUAAAUGG